RNAcentral lists this ribosomal RNA (497 nucleotides) under uncultured bacterium. RNAcentral describes it as "partial 16S ribosomal RNA". It matches the Rfam family "Bacterial small subunit ribosomal RNA", at positions 28 to 507 of the family's 1533-position model. The record is from RNAcentral.
GAUGAACGCUGGCGGCGUGCCUAAUACAUGCAAGUCGAGCGAACAGACGAGGAGCUUGCUCCUCUGACGUUAGCGGCGGACGGGUGAGUAACACGUGGAUAACCUACCUAUAAGACUGGGAUAACUUCGGGAAACCGGAGCUAAUACCGGAUAAUAUAUUGAACCGCAUGGUUCAAUAGUGAAAGACGGUUUUGCUUUCACUUAUAGAUGGAUCCGCGCCGCAUUAGCUAGUUGGUAAGGUAACGGCUUACCAAGGCAACGAUGCGGAGCCGACCUGAGAGGGUGAUCGGCCACACUGGAACUGAGACACGGUCCAGACUCCUACGGGAGGCAGCAGUAGGGAAUCUUCCGCAAUGGGCGAAAGCUUGACGGAGCAACGCCGCGUGAGUGAUGAAGGUCUUCGGAUCGUAAAACUCUGUUAUUAGGGAAGAACAAAUGUGUAAGUAACUAUGCACGUCUUGACGGUACCUAAUCAGAAAGCCACGGCUAACUACGUG